GGUUAAGUUAGAAAGGGCGCACGGUGGAUGCCUUGACACUAGGAGUCGAUGAAGGACGGGACUAACGCCGAUAUGCUUCGGGGAGCUGUAAGUAAGCUUUGAUCCGAAGAUUUCCGAAUGGGGAAACCCACUAUACGUAAUGGUAUGGUAUCCUUACCUGAAUACAUAGGGUAUGGAAGACAGACCCAGGGAACUGAAACAUCUAAGUACCUGGAGGAAGAGAAAGCAAAUGCGAUUUCCUGAGUAGCGGCGAGCGAAACGGAAUCUAGCCCAAACCAAGAGGCUUGCCUCUUGGGGUUGUAGGACAUUCUAUACGGAGUUACAAAGGAACGAGGUAGACGAAGCGACCUGGAAAGGUCCGUCACAGAGGGUAACAACCCCGUAGUCGAAACUUCGUUCUCUCUUGAAUGUAUCCUGAGUACGGCGGAACACGUGAAAUUCCGUCGGAAUCUGGGAGGACCAUCUCCCAAGGCUAAAUACUCCCUAGUGAUCGAUAGUGAACCAGUACCGUGAGGGAAAGGGUCGAC
Molecule: ribosomal RNA, 527 nt
Filed under: Bacillus cereus
Lineage: Bacteria; Bacillati; Bacillota; Bacilli; Caryophanales; Bacillaceae
Description: bacterial LSU rRNA
Rfam family: Bacterial large subunit ribosomal RNA
Source: RNAcentral